This 482-nucleotide ribosomal RNA is filed under the name uncultured bacterium. RNAcentral describes it as "bacterial SSU rRNA". It matches the Rfam family "Bacterial small subunit ribosomal RNA", at positions 28 to 520 of the family's 1533-position model. The record is from RNAcentral.
GACGAACGCUGGCGGCGUGCUUAAUACAUGCAAGUCGAACGAGAUCCAUCCAGUGGCAACACUGGUGAAGAUCGAGUGGCGAACGGGUGCGUAACACGUGAGGAACCUGCCCCGGACUCUGGAAUAACAGUGGGAAACCACUGCUAAUACCGGAUGUCUCCACCAUCUCGCAUGGAAUGGUGAAGAAAGAUUUAUCGGUUCGGGAGGGUCUCGCGGCCUAUCAGCUUGUUGGUGAGGUAACGGCUCACCAAGGCUUCGACGGGUAGCUGGUCUGAGAGGAUGAUCAGCCACACUGGGACUGAGACACGGCCCAGACUCCUACGGGAGGCAGCAGUAGGGAAUCUUGCGCAAUGGGCGAAAGCCUGACGCAGCAACGCCGCGUGGGGGAUGAAGGCCCUCGGGUUGUAAACCCCUUUCAGCAGGAACGAAUCUGACGGUACCUGCAGAAGAAGGCCCGGCCAACUACGUGCCAGCAGCCGCAG